UAGAAAAAUUAUUCUGGUAGAAUUUAAAGAAUUAAGCCUUCAAGAAUCAUUUUUGCUAUAAAUCCUAAUUUAUGUAUUAAUCAACUAAUAUAAAUGUUGGAGGGAAUAUUAGCAAAUAACUAUAAUUUUCAUAUGAGAUCAUUUCAUUUAAUGAUUGGUAGUCUGGGGACUUGGCAUAUAGCUGUAUGUUUUUAUAUAGAUGGGCAUAUUUUAAAGCUACAAAGCAUUAGGACAGUAAAAACUUUUAUUGUUAAUUUUUGUGCAAUGAAAGGACACUACUAAACCAAAUACCUUGUGAUUCCUUUUCCAUGGGCCAUACAUGAAUGAUGACCUAAGUGACAGAUAUAACAAAAGUUUUGACCAAUUCCCAAUUCCUCCUGGGUUAACAGGAGAAGUAUCAUACAUACGAGAGGAUAAUGAGAUAUGAAACCUAAGGCUGUUCUUCUCCACCUGACUGGGAAUGUAUACAACUUUAACAACUUACUCUCCCAAGUUUAUGAAUGGAAAAGUCAAGUAAAUAGAGGAGAUACCAAUGACUAACAAUGAACCUGUAAUGUUUGCCUUGGAUACAUGCAACCAUAGUAUUAAAUCCCACUGAUUCCUUCUCAGAAUGAAACGAUGACAUUUUUGUUGUUUUUUGUUUUUUUCUUAAGAACUUGUGAGCUAUGUCAUGAAUGGUGUAUGACUGUUUUGGCCAGGGAUUAAAAAUGUUUUUUUACAUUUGUACUGGGAAUGAGCAAAGCCCAGAUGUUUUUCUUUAGCUGCUGAUUAGAGGCAUUAUUUUCAAUGAUGGCAGUAACGCUAGCAAUUCCUUUCUGUACCAGUAAAUAAUUAUUGAUACAAAUAGUUUUCAGAUGACAGGUCAGAUGAAUAAUUGUUUGUCAGUUAUUAAUAAACUGACAGGCUAGGAACCAUGGGCAAUUAUCAAUACAUAAAACCAACUGUGGGAUCAUUCGGUGAAAGCUUCAUGGUAAAUGGCUUUUGGAAUCUGAGUCAAAGAAACCAGAGUUGAAAUCUUGGCUCCUGCCCUUAUCCUAUCUAAGCCUAAGAUUCCUCUUCAUCUGUAAAAUGGUCAUAUAUUAACUCAUGAAAUAAUUGUAGUGAUUAAAUGAAGUCAUGAAUGUAAAGCAUUUAUCAUAGUGGUUGACAUUGAAUACACAAUAUAUAACAUAUUUAUUACUAUAAUGGCAAAUAAAAUACAUUAUCCUAUGAAAUUAGUCAAACCUAGAUAUCUGAUCUUUUCAAUUCCCAAAGAAAGCUUUGAUGUAACCCAAAACUUUGGCUGGGUUGCAGUUUGUUCUGCUGGGUCAAUUUGCACAUUCUCUCUCUCCCUCUCUUUGUUUCUAGAAGGGAGGAAUAUUUUCCUCAGCUCUUAUAGAGUCCCUGGCUGGGUCUGAAAAUAAAACUGACAGAGACACAUUAAAAAGAGAAAAACAUACACUUAAUAAGUUUCACAUGAUGGAAAAGCCUUCAGAAAAGAAGACUCAAAGAAACAGAGUUUACCCACAAAGGGAUAAAAGCAGAACACUAAAAGAAUCAAGAACUUUUGAUGGAGGCGAAACAUUUCUAGGAGGGAAAAACUGAACGUCUGGACUGCUGUCCAAGCAGAACCGGCCUGAGCACAGACUGGAACAGCAUGAAGACUGUUUUUAGCGUCAGAUGGAGGAACACAUUUUUCUUUCUAAAAGACAUCAUGGGAAAUGAAGGGAAGUAAAACCUCAAAAGCAAUCUUUUCAAACUUGUAAAUUUCUCUCUAUAAAUCAUGAUUUCUGCUUUCUAACAAUAACCAAGGAGCCUUCUUGAACAUCAAAUAGCUCUUGCAUAACGACAUAUUUUUAAUAUUCGAUGUAUGUAAACUAGAAACGGAUAAAAUAGCAAACAUUUAGAAGUUAGUGAAUUAAAUGGAAAAACACCUCUGAAAGUACAUCUUGUAUUGUUAUUGCAAAACCACAAUGUUACCAAUAUUGGAUAAACCCUGCCUGAAAACAGCUGGGUUUUUACUUUCUCUAAUUGUAUCUGAUCCAAAUCACUUUUAUUUUUUUUAAGACAAUAUCAUUUCUGUACAUUACUCUUACUUUCAGAGCUGAGUUCUGGACUAUGUGCCAAUGCUUACUGAAUUCACUUUCUCCAUGUUUGUGAAUGAAUAAGCGUGAGUUUGCAGCCCACUGCUGAGUUUUCAUAAUAAUGAAGGAACAAUGGUCUUUGAAAGUCACAGAUAAUCCCCACUCCUCAUUGUGGUCAUCUGUUUCAAUCCAGCUUUUCUCUGGAACAACCAGAAAGAUACAAAAUUGACUGAUGAUCUUCUCCCUUCCCCUGCCUGACCCUGCAUGCAUACACACCCCCUCUCAUAGAGGUGCCAAGGAGCAGUGAAAUGACCAAAAGGCAGGGAGUAGGAGGGAGAGGAAAGAAAAACAAACCGAGUGAUCAACCUCAAAUGACUGAGUGUUGGCUGUUUUCUAUUAUUUACUCCCCUGAGCUUUCUCAGAUGUGUUUUUUUGAGAAGACUUUCAUGUUGUCUUUUCUUUCGUCUCUUAUAGUUAACCACCAUUUUCCAUGCAAGGGGCUGGGGUGCAGAGCACUUGAAUGAGGUCCAGGUAGGCUGCCAGAUUCUCAAGAUGCUUAAGCACAAUAUUUCCAUCCUUGAUCUUCUGAAAACAAGCUUUUAAAUUAUGUGUGAACCCCUGUCUGUGAUGCACAGAAAGGAAAGUCACAAAGUAAUGAGUGAAAAUUCACAAGCAGCUCAUCGAUCUUUGAUAUUUACAUACAGCAUUAAAUAUGUGGAUAUUUUUCAAAUUAUGCAUUUUGGAAUUUGGUAUGUCCAUUUUAUAAAGGGCAGCCUGCAGUUCAUAAAAACAUGAUCCACAUUGAGUUAUGUCUGAUCUACUCUCUCUACCAGAGGUUUUUAAAUUUCUUGUAUCAUGAAUUAAACAUAGGACAGUCUCAUUCAUUUGAAUAAAAUCCGCCCACUGGGGGUCAAAUGCCUGACCUGGGUCAAAUCUGUGGAAGCGCCAUUGUGGAAAAGAAUGCCCUCUGACCAUGUCUUUUCUGUUUCAAUUGUCCAAGGGCUAAGAAUGAACACCAAAGAGGAAGGAACACAUCAAUCUGAGUCACCAACACUUCAAAGAUGGUCUUUCUCAAAAGACCAAUACACUGCAGGCUUUCAUCAGACAUAAACUGACUUAAAGGAGUUUCCUAAAGGAGAUAGACUUUAUGUAAAACUGCUUUUUGUUUGCUGUAGGAUUUAAUGGUAGAGGGAAUUUCUUUGUAAGUAUAAAAAUAAUUCUAAAGGUCAUUAUUAUGAUGAUUUAUGGAGUAACAAUUUUGUUCCAAGCAUUAUGCCAAGUGCUUUACAUAAAUUACCUAAUUUAGCUAUAUUAAAAACCAUAUGAGAUAGCUAUUAUCAUUAUUCUUUAUCUAUAUUGUUAUGAAUGAUGAAAAGGAAGCACAGAAAAGUUAAGUAUUUACUGAAGCUCACAACCCAUCAGAAUUUUAAUUUCCUUUAUGUUACUCCACAAGAUAACAUUAGAUUUGGAAGAUGACAUACUUAACAUAUUUCAUUAAGGUUUUUAAAACUGUCUCAAAGAUCCUACUAAUGCUGAUAUAGUUUGUUUUGGGGAUCCUCAAAAAGGAAUUUCAUAUAAUUUCGGCUAUUGAUGAUCAUUUCUGACAACUUGAAAAUGUCACUGUAGAGUACAUAU
Microcebus murinus (gray mouse lemur) is the source of this 3698-nucleotide non-coding RNA. The record is from RefSeq and is a predicted model, not a curated record. Lineage: Eukaryota; Metazoa; Chordata; Mammalia; Primates; Cheirogaleidae.